GAUGAACGCUAGCGGCAGGCUUAAUACAUGCAAGUCGAGGGGCAGCAGGAAUAGCAAUAUUUGCUGGCGACCGGCGCACGGGUGCGUAACACGUAUACAAUCUGCCUUUAACAGGGGGAUAGCCCGGAGAAAUCCGGAUUAAUACCCCAUAACAAUAGAACAAGCAUUUGUUUUAUUUAAAAGCUCCGGCGGUUAGAGAUGAGUAUGCGUCUGAUUAGCUAGUUGGUGAGGUAACGGCUCACCAAGGCGACGAUCAGUAGGGGAUCUGAGAGGAUUAACCCCCACACGGAUACUGAGACACGGAUCCGACUCCUACGGGAUGCAGCAUUAAGGAAUAUUGGACAAUGCCCGCAAGGGUGAUCCAGCCAUGCCGCGUGCAGGAAGACGGCCCUAUGGGUUGUAAACUGCUUUUGUACCGGAGAAAACCUCCCCUCGUGAGGGGAGCUGAUAGUAUGGUAAGAAUAAGCAUCGGCUAACUUCGUGCCAGCAGCCGCGGUAA
This 499-nucleotide ribosomal RNA is filed under the name uncultured bacterium. RNAcentral describes it as "partial 16S ribosomal RNA". It matches the Rfam family "Bacterial small subunit ribosomal RNA", at positions 28 to 523 of the family's 1533-position model. The record is from RNAcentral.